AUGGCUUCUUCCGGAUCCAAUGAGAAGAGAGGUGAUGAUCGCAAGGGGGGUGAAGAAGUGUGGAAAAUGGAGGCCAAGGAUAAAGAUGGAACUCCCAGAAACUCGGUAGUCUCCGCUGAAGAAUCAGAAGCUCAAGUAUCUCAACCUCGGUCAACCACGGUCACCGGAGUCUCUGCCAUCCCAACCUCUUGGAGAGUCAAAUCAUCAAACUAUCGGCUGACACCCAAAUCAUCAGCAAGGCUGUACAGAAACCCUUACUACAACUUAAUUCACAAUUUUGGAGUAGAGAACACUUCUUGUUUGGACAUUCCUGGACCUUGGGAUCGCCAUAUACCCAAGAGAGGCAAUGACCAGGAGAGCAACAGUUGGGGAACUACCAACAAUCAAAUUAUGUAG
RNAcentral lists this ribosomal RNA (396 nucleotides) under Triticum aestivum (bread wheat). RNAcentral's name for it is "partial small subunit ribosomal RNA". The record is from RNAcentral. Lineage: Eukaryota; Viridiplantae; Streptophyta; Magnoliopsida; Poales; Poaceae.